CCCUUAGAUGUUCUGGGCCGCACGCGUGCUACACUGAGUAAAUCAAUGGGUAAGGGAACACGAAAGUGCAACCUAAUCUUGAAAUUUGCUCGUGAUGGGGAUCGACGGUUGCAAUUUUCCGUCGUGAACGAGGAAUACCUUGUAGGCGCGUGUCACCAUCACGCGCCGAAUACGUCCCUGCCCUUUGUACACACCGCCCGUCGCUCCUACCGAUUGAGUGAUCCGGUGAGGCUCUGGGACCUGGACGGAAAGAGCGUUUCGCUUGUUCUGUUUGGGAAACUUGGUCGAACCUUAUCAUUUAGAGGAAGGAGAAGUCGUAACA
This 322-nucleotide ribosomal RNA is filed under the name uncultured eukaryote. Its description in RNAcentral is "partial 18S ribosomal RNA". It matches the Rfam family "Eukaryotic small subunit ribosomal RNA", at positions 1470 to 1796 of the family's 1831-position model. The record is from RNAcentral.